RNAcentral lists this ribosomal RNA (304 nucleotides) under uncultured bacterium. Its description in RNAcentral is "bacterial SSU rRNA". It matches the Rfam family "Bacterial small subunit ribosomal RNA", at positions 28 to 334 of the family's 1533-position model. The record is from RNAcentral.
GACGAACGCUGGCGGCGUGCCUAAUACAUGCAAGUCGAGCGAGGGUCUUCGGACCCUAGCGGCGGACGGGUGAGUAACACGUAGGCAACCUGCCUCUCAGACCGGGAUAACAUAGGGAAACUUAUGCUAAUACCGGAUAGGUUUUUGGAUUGCAUGAUCCGAAAAGAAAAGAUGGCUUCGGCUAUCACUGGGAGAUGGGCCUGCGGCGCAUUAGCUAGUUGGUGGGGUAACGGCCUACCAAGGCGACGAUGCGUAGCCGACCUGAGAGGGUGACCGGCCACACUGGGACUGAGACACGGCCCAG